RNAcentral lists this microRNA precursor (195 nucleotides) under Oryza brachyantha (malo sina). RNAcentral's name for it is "MIR812 microRNA precursor family". It matches the Rfam family "MIR812 microRNA precursor family". The record is from Rfam by way of RNAcentral. Lineage: Eukaryota; Viridiplantae; Streptophyta; Magnoliopsida; Poales; Poaceae.
AAUAAGAUUAUUUUUUAUUUUUUCGUGUCUAACGUUUGACCAUUUGUUUUAUUUGAAAAAAAUUUGUGAUUAAUAUUUUUGUUCUUGCUAGAUGAUAAAACAUGAAUAGAUAAUUUUUUUAAGUUUUUAUACAAAAUUUUUAAAUAAGACGAAUGUUCAAACGUUGAACACGGAAAAACGAAAAAUGAUCUUACG